Molecule: long non-coding RNA, 4775 nt
Organism: Talpa occidentalis (Iberian mole)
Lineage: Eukaryota; Metazoa; Chordata; Mammalia; Eulipotyphla; Talpidae
Exons: 3
Source: RefSeq, a predicted model, not a curated record
GGGGCUGGGGUGUCCCCCUCUCCGCCCCGGAGGGGAAGGCCCACUUCACCCCACUGUGGCCCGGCUGUACAUGGUUGUGUGCAAAUUGGAGCUUCAGCACCUGUUUCCAGUUCUUCGGGGCGUCGGUCCGGAGUGGGGUCGCCCAAGCAGCGGCCGGCGCCGUCUGCAACUCGCUGGGAAAGACGCAGCCUUGUCCCUUCCAGGCGAGCUUCGCGUGUUGGUGAUUUAAAGUGUUCUCCCUCAUUCCCGUCGUAGCGUGAAGCGGGGGUGGGUUUAGUUUUCUUUUUUUUUUUUAUUAAGAUUUAUUUAUGCAUACAAGCGCUGGGGUACAGGCCAGAAGUAUGGGGGGGGCGGUGAGAGGACUCACCAGAGACAGAGUGGGGAGCGGAAAAGGCAGAUGUACGGAAAUCCACUGCUGAGGGGAGCAGCGGGGAGACAGGAGAGGUCUGCUGCGCCCUGUGGGUAGCUCCCUGGCCGGGGAUGGAACUCGUGCUGCAGGGGCUGCGGACAGCUUCCUAGUGCUGUGACUUAGCCCCUGCGCCGCCAGGGAGGCCCUGGGUUUAGUUUUGUGUUUCUGUGGCAACUGGCGAUGCUGACAGGCUCUUCGGGUGCGGUGGGGGCGUUGGUCCGCGUCCUCUGGAGGAGACUAUUCCAGUCCUCAGGUCACUUUUCAAAUUGGUUUGUCUUUUUGUUAGUCGCCAAAGACCUUGUGUGUCCUGACCCCCAGACUCUUAUCUCUGCACACUGAGGCAUCUGGGCUUAUUCUUGGCUGAAACCAUCUUUUGAGUAAUCCCUGCGCAGACUGCGCUGAUGCACUGACAGGUUUUCUGCACCAGUGGCAGCCCUGGGAGAAACCCAGGAUGUUGCCACAAAUUUAAUGGAAAAUUAAGUUUUUCAGCUGUAGAAUGUUAGUAACUGCCACGUAUGUUUAAGCUCAAAUGUGCAGAUUUGCCGAGUAAGCAGCAUGUCAUCUUUGAACGCUUUGGAAAAUGUUUGCUACAAAAUAAGUAGGUCAGAAUAUUUAUGGCAAGGGAUAGUAUGUUUUUGGAUUAUAUGCCUAGACGCUAGAAUGUGGAGGUUUAUCUGUUCAGUUGACUAACAUGAAAACACUGACAGUGGGAACUGGCUCCCAUUCCUUGAAAGACUUAUUAGGUCACGCACCACAGAUCAAAAUGAACUGAAAUUAACAAAGUAAUAGUAACUGGGUAUGGGGGAAGGGCCUUAUCCGUAGGCUGACCCCAAGUGCUGUUCAGGGGUCCAUGUCUUUGGGGAAUGUCUCUCCUCCCUCUGUUGGGAUGUUUGGCCUGCAGAGUCCUGUCUCCUGUAAUCUCCCCCCCCAUCCCCCCAAUGGGGGAGCCCCUGAGGGCAAGCAGGCUCACCUUUAUCAUAAGCCUCCCUUUAACACCUGCUCCCGAGGCCACAUGGUACUCUAUUCUGUGUGCCCCCAGGGGUGGCCAGAGCAGGAGCCUCGAAGGUGGUCUCAGGCCUGGAGGACCCUGCUGGUAUCUGCACCUUCACACAAGGCCUGCCCGCCCACCCCAUCUUUCAAGGCCCUCCCUGCACACUUCACCCCUGAUCUGCUCCUCCCCCUCCUCCCCGCUCCCCUCACUGCACCCCCAAGGCCCUCCCUGUUCUGUCCCCAGUGUCACAAACUGAAAGAGCAUCUGAUUCACGGGCCCCACUUCCAAGUGGGGACCUGCCUAUCUUUGGACAUCUUGGCUGGCAUGGCACCACUCUCCGACAGUGCAGACAGCUCGCUGACUUUAUGACAUUGGGGGCCUGGGGGCCUUGGCGUAGAUGAUGGUGGGUACCUGAGGCUGCUGAUACCCAAAACUCAGCCCUGACCCCAAGCACAGCAUCGCCUUCCUCUCUGGGGGCUCUGCCCUGUACCCCCCGCAGCUGUGUCAACCACUGUUUCCUGUCCUCCCCUUUCUUCUGGUGAAGUCCCAGUAGCUCUGUGAGUGCUCCCUCGAGUCCAGAGCUGCCCCAUCUCUGAUUCCAGAUCCUGCCCGGGCGGGAGCCCCUCACCAAUCUGUUACAGGGCAGGGAGAGGGGCACCCCAGACCCCGCAAACCUGCCCGCUCUAAAUAGAUUCUGUCAUCCGCCACAUUAGCAUAAAACAUAUGAGACUUUAAUGGGAAGGAACUUUAAUACAAUUGGAAAACAAUACAGGAAAGACAAAGGAUAUAGUUUUUAAAUCAAGUACCCAAAGUUACCCGUCCCCUCGUGGGUAAAAGUCCACCCAAGCAGGAGUGGCCCACCGGGAGCUGAGACCUUUGUGCAGGGGAGCGGCUCUCUCUGGCAGAAGCUGCACAGCGGCUGGGUGGUGAGUCUGAGAACCUGUGGGACCGGGUCACGCUGGGUAAGAGUGGGAAGGGGAACUGGGCCUGUGGGAUUCCUGGGGUGCAGCGUCAGCUUACUGGGAAGGGACACGGAGUGCUCCCCAAAGCAGGAUGGCGGGAGGUCUGUACAAUUGUGGUCUUUAUAAAAACCUUUAUAAAAACCUAGGAGAAAUACCCUGUGCCUUCAGCUGGAGCCAUUUCCCUUUUUCCUGAAAACGCUCAUAUAAUCGAUCCCGUGACAUGUUUUCUGUUUCAGGCUAAUGAACAGCGCCCCUGAUGUUGACAAAGCUCAGGGUGACCAGGAAGCUCAGGUGUUGCCCCGGAUUCCUUCACUGGCCUUGAGGAGGGCGUUCCUGCCACACGCCACGGGGACCAGACAGCUGUCCCUUGAGUGGCACUGACGUCCCUGUACAGCACUGGCAUGGUGUGCACAGGAGGCAAAUGUAAGAUUUAAAUCGGAACGUGAAACAGGCAAUAAAGGUGGAGCCGGGUCACAGCCCAGGCCCUGGUCACGUGACAAUGACGCCCACAGCCUAGGUGGCACCCGCCACUGCGCGCCAGGCCAGGCUCGCUCGUCUGGGGCUGUCCUCGCUGAGGCUGGGCCCGCCGGCUCACUUGCUGGCAGGAGCAACGGCGCAUCGCCUCUGCCUGGGCUGGGCUGGCCCCAGGUCUUCAUCCUGCCCGUGUGUGCCUCACUGGCACGCUCUCUCCUCAAGCCCCCAUCUGCCUGACUGACUCUCUCAAGGGUGAGUCUCAGCUACUUCCAGGUGGCCCUGCCCGACCUCCCCGGGUGUGUGUCAGGGACCCCUUCCAGGGAAGACUGAGGCAUCUCAAGCUUCUCCGCCACAGCCCUUGCAGGCGCUGAUGACAUUUUGUAAAUUCAAAUGGAAAUGGAGGCAAACAUAUUCCAUGUCCUCUCGAAAAACAGUUAACCUAAAAAUUCUGAGGUCCAGGUGGAAGCCUCACAUGUCCCCACAGUCUCAGUGGAAAUAUUUGUGAUGAUACAAAUUUUAUUUGGUUUGUACCCAGUUUGGUUUCAAAAUUGCUGAAAUGUGUUGAGCCUGAGACUCUUAACAUUUAUUGUAAUUGCUCGGUUGAAAUUCACCAUGUGAGAAAAGGGGGCAUUGAGGGGAGGGCAGACACUGCGAAGGUGUCUGCGGUGUGUGAGGCACAUUCUUCCCUUGACAGCUUACAAAUUCAUUUGGAGUGAAAUAUUUUGAGGGGGAAAAAAAACCCUUUUUUAAAUGGGGGUUUAAAUAUUGUUGGCCUUUGUAUGGUUCCCAGAGGGGACUUUCUUUCUCUCUUCUUGGUGCUCCUGACCUUGCGUGGUUUGCAAGCUUGCCCUGCAGUAAGGCCACUGUGGAGCUGCCGCACAAGUGCAUAUCUAUUUAUUUUUAUACAAGAAGCAGGGUACAGGCCAGAUGCACAGGAGGGUGAGAGGAUUCACUGGAGACAGAGCGGGGAACAGAACAGGCAAACUGAAGAAAUACACUGCUGAGAGGAGCAGCAGGCGAGACAGGGAAGGUCUGCUGUGCCAUGUGAGAAUCUCGCCUGCCAGCUGGGAUCGAACCUGCGCUGCAGAGGCUACAAACAGCUUCACAGUAUGGUGCUCAACCACCUGUGCCACCACGGAGGUCCUAAGAUGUUUUUCUGUAACCACAUGGAAUUCUUAAGACUUUUUAAAAAUUACUCUUCCCCUGCCAAGGAGCAAGGAGGUAAUUUUACCAGUGGAGUUUUCAUCAACUUCUGUUACAGGUCCUGAUAAUGAUAGGGAGUUGUGUAUAUUGUAGAAAAUGUGAAGAGUAGAAUAAAAUAGGAUGAACAGUAUCAACAAGUACUCUUAUGACUUAGCACAUUUCCUUCCUAGAUUUUUCCCCAAUAUUUGCAAUUGUGAAAUAGAAUGCCUGUGUAGAAGGUAGGUAGUAGCUUGAGAAUUAUAAAAUGAGCUUCCAUUAAAUAGGUCAAGAAAUGUAAAAUCACAUCAUAGCAUGAUCUUCCUCCAUAAGGAAGCCUCUAUAUGGCUGUCACUAAAUUUUUUUCUUUGCUCUUCACUACAUAUUCUAGGUAUGUAUCACUGCAUGUAUCAUUAAAAUGUGGUUUUAAUUUUGUCAUUUAAUAUUUAAAUAAAUUAAAUCAUGUUCUGUUUCUGUCUUGAAUGUCACUUAACAGUAUGAAGGCAAGACUAGUCCACAAUUUGGAUGCAGCUUGAGACUUUUCACUGCUGUAUAAUACUCCACUCGAUGUACAGUUGUUGUUUACAUUGUGUUCUCAUGCAUAAGGGUUAAGGAGAGUAUGCUUACAUCAUCGCUAGAAUUUUAUAUUUUACUUCAUCAUUUAACAUUGCAAUAUAAGUACUUUCCACAUCAUUAAAAACUAGUGUUACUGUAUCUGUCUACUUUUUACAUUUAAUUUUGUAUAUAUUGGGGGUUUUCA